CGGGGCGUAGCGCAGUCUGGUAGCGCACUACACUGGGGGUGUAGUGGUCGUCGGUUCAAAUCCGGCCAUCCCGACCA
This 77-nucleotide transfer RNA is filed under the name Gammaproteobacteria bacterium. RNAcentral's name for it is "tRNA-Pro". It matches the Rfam family "tRNA". From Rfam's summary of the family: Transfer RNA (tRNA) molecules are approximately 80 nucleotides in length. Their secondary structure includes four short double-helical elements and three loops (D, anti-codon, and T loops). Lineage: Bacteria; Pseudomonadati; Pseudomonadota; Gammaproteobacteria. The record is from RNAcentral.